Callithrix jacchus (white-tufted-ear marmoset) is the source of this 326-nucleotide non-coding RNA. Ensembl annotates it as small Cajal body-specific RNA 7. Its record names the gene SCARNA7. NCBI's taxonomy places the organism in Eukaryota, Metazoa, Chordata, Mammalia, Primates, Cebidae. The record is from Ensembl.
UGGAAAUGAUGAAAUAGAGAUAAUUGGGUGUUGAAUGUUGUAUGACUGGAAAUAUUUAAUAUGUAUAUUAAGUAAUUCUUCUAAGUUUAGUAUUUUAUAGGUACUUAUUAGAGUGUAUGCAUGUGUGUGUGCUUGUGGUGGCUAUGGAAAGGGGGCACUGACUGGUGAUGCUGAUAUUGGAGUGCAUCUGAGGCUGUUGUAGAAGUAGCAUGGGUUGUUGAUUACAACAUUGCCGAUGAUUAUAACCCAAGAACAGCUCACCUAACUAGCCCGACACCCUAAAAUCUCUAACAGGUUCAUUAAAGUGGUCCUGUGAUCUGAUCCGA